This 963-nucleotide long non-coding RNA is filed under the name Setaria viridis. Its description in RNAcentral is "long non-coding RNA (SVIR_LNC006700)". Lineage: Eukaryota; Viridiplantae; Streptophyta; Magnoliopsida; Poales; Poaceae. The record is from RNAcentral.
GGACAGAGUUCAUAGCCAGAUGUAAGUAUCGGUUGUGUAGAGGGUGGUGCCUCUAAGAACUCACCCCAAGGAGCAGAGGGGCUUUGAAAAGAUGGCCUCUCCAUGGAUAGUGAGGGUAAAGGUAGAAGGAAAGAAAACUAAAAGAUAUGAGGGUGACUAGGUAUGAAGAAAGAUACAACAACCGUUCCCCAGCAACGGUGCCAGAAAGCUUGUUGGGUAUUUUAGCAAUGUGGAGUAAAUCCGCAACUGCACGGAUACUAUUGUAGCUUUCACCUUAGAGUAUUCCAAGGGUAUCAAAUCCAAGGGAACGUGUGUGUACUAACUCCUAGUUUAGUCGGUCCAAGGGUAGAGAGGAUUCCUAAAGAUAGCUCUAUAGGUGAGUUAAAGGUCGAUCUCUUGGUUAAAGAACUCGCUUCGAGCACCGGCUUACCCUGAAUUAUUCUAGCGCCUCCAGCCAAUAGCUCUACACUAUAUCCGAACGUGGAGGAUUACAAAGGACCAAUAGGGCUGUUACCACCUAUGGCCUAUCUCUAGCAACCCAUGGGAUAUAAGGCAAAUGAAGGAUAACCCUUAGCCUAGACACCACGUCUACACUAUUGAUUACUAUUGUAGUCUAACUACGUCUAAGCUCCCAUAGCAGACAUACAACACUCUAUAUAAAUACAGAGCGAUGAACUCGCGAGUAAGAGAACUGAUCUCACUCAGAUAUAGAUACUACUAGUGUAUACUGUAGACAUACAUAAGAGCACUCAAGCCUAUACUAUGAUAGCAAGGGUAUAUGACUGGCAUAUGAGCAUAUAAACCAAGCAUAUACACAUAGAAAGGGAAUAAGACUACUCAUGCAACCAAGUAUAACACUAUAAAAAGGAAUCAUGAAUACAAACUUACUUUACUCAAAGGAGGCCAGCAUCCGUAGAGGUACAAGCUAGGAGGAGACUGCCGACACUCCAGCACUCCUCCCCC